Molecule: ribosomal RNA, 375 nt
Filed under: uncultured bacterium
Lineage: Bacteria
Description: bacterial SSU rRNA
Rfam family: Bacterial small subunit ribosomal RNA
Source: RNAcentral
UACGUAGGUGGCAAGCGUUAUCCGGAAUUAUUGGGUGUAAAGGGUGCGUAGGCGGGGUGUAAAGUCAGGUGUGAAAUCUGAGAGCUCAACUCUCAGACUGCAUUUGAAACUUACACUCUUGAGUGAAGUAGAGGCAAGCGGAAUUCCCAGUGUAGCGGUGAAAUGCGUAGAUAUUGGGAGGAACACCAGUGGCGAAGGCGGCUUGCUGGGCUUUUACUGACGCUGAGGCACGAAAGUGUGGGGAGCAAACAGGAUUAGAUACCCUGGUAGUCCACACCGUAAACGAUGAUUACUAGGUGUAGGCCGGCUGAACCGGUCUGUGCCGCAGUUAACACAAUAAGUAAUCCACCUGGGGAGUACGGCCGCAAGGUUGAA